GAUGAACGCUGGCGGCGUGCCUAAUACAUGCAAGUCGAGCGAACAGACGAGGAGCUUGCUCCUCUGACGUUAGCGGCGGACGGGUGAGUAACACGUGGAUAACCUACCUAUAAGACUGGGAUAACUUCGGGAAACCGGAGCUAAUACCGGAUAAUAUAUUGAACCGCAUGGUUCAAUAGUGAAAGACGGUUUUGCUGUCACUUAUAGAUGGAUCCGCGCCGCAUUAGCUAGUUGGUAAGGUAACGGCUUACCAAGGCGACGAUGCGUAGCCGACCUGAGAGGGUGAUCGGCCACACUGGAACUGAGACACGGUCCAGACUCCUACGGGAGGCAGCAGUAGGGAAUCUUCCGCAAUGGGCGAAAGCCUGACGGAGCAACGCCGCGGGAGUGAUGAAGGUCUUCGGAUCGUAAAACUCUGUUAUUAGGGAAGAACAAAUGUGUAAGUACCUAUGCACGUCUUGACGGUACCUAAUCAGAAAGCCACGGCUAACUACGUG
RNAcentral lists this ribosomal RNA (497 nucleotides) under uncultured bacterium. RNAcentral's name for it is "partial 16S ribosomal RNA". It matches the Rfam family "Bacterial small subunit ribosomal RNA", at positions 28 to 507 of the family's 1533-position model. The record is from RNAcentral.